Molecule: ribosomal RNA, 492 nt
Filed under: uncultured bacterium
Lineage: Bacteria
Description: partial 16S ribosomal RNA
Rfam family: Bacterial small subunit ribosomal RNA
Source: RNAcentral
AGUGAACGCUGGCGGUAGGCCUAACAUAUGCAAGUCGAACGGCAGCACAGUAAGAGCUUGCUCUUACGGGUGGCGAGUGGCGGACGGGUGAGGAAUACAUCGGAAUCUACUUUUUCGUGGGGGAUAACGUAGGGAAACUUACGCUAAUACCGCAUACGACCUACGGGUGAAAGCAGGGGAUCUUCGGACCUUGCGCGAUUGAAUGAGCCGAUGUCGGAUUAGCUAGUUGGCGGGGUAAAGGCCCACCAAGGCGACGAUCCGUAGCUGGUCUGAGAGGAUGAUCAGCCACACUGGAACUGAGACACGGUCCAGACUCCUACGGGAGGCAGCAGUGGGGAAUAUUGGACAAUGGGCGCAAGCCUGAUCCAGCCAUACCGCGUGGGUGAAGAAGGCCUUUGGGUUGUAAAGCCCUUUUGUUGGGAAAGAAAAGCAGCAGGUUAAUACCCCGCUGUUCUGACGGUACCCAAAGAAUAAGCACCGGCUAGCUUCGUG